ACAUCAUCAGCAGCAUGUCUGCUAUGAUGA
Non-coding RNA from Danio rerio (zebrafish), 30 nucleotides. The record is from Rfam. Lineage: Eukaryota; Metazoa; Chordata; Actinopteri; Cypriniformes; Danionidae.